RNAcentral lists this ribosomal RNA (207 nucleotides) under uncultured bacterium. RNAcentral's name for it is "partial 16S ribosomal RNA". It matches the Rfam family "Bacterial small subunit ribosomal RNA", at positions 568 to 774 of the family's 1533-position model. The record is from RNAcentral.
CGCGUAGGCGGGGAUACAAGUCAGGUGUGAAAUCUAUGGGCUUAACCCAUAAACUGCAUUUGAAACUGUAUCUCUUGAGUGUCGGAGAGGUAGACGGAAUUCCUAGUGUAGCGGUGAAAUGCGUAGAUAUUAGGAGGAACACCAGUGGCGAAGGCGGUCUACUGGACGACAACUGACGCUGAGGCGCGAAAGUGUGGGUAUCAAACA